Molecule: long non-coding RNA, 753 nt
Filed under: Triticum aestivum (bread wheat)
Lineage: Eukaryota; Viridiplantae; Streptophyta; Magnoliopsida; Poales; Poaceae
Description: long non-coding RNA (TAES_LNC023462)
Source: RNAcentral
UGACCAAAACACAGUACCGAUAAUCAACAUUCUUUAUCAUGAGCAUGCCCACCAAACUGACAGUGUAAAAUUAACAAUUUGACCGGGCAUCAAUAUUUGAGAAACUGAGUUAUCGGCAAUAAUUGGUACAAAACUUAAAGAUUGAUGCAACAUGUCAAAUCAAAUUGCGACAACUAAUGUAUGAGAUACUUCUAUUCCAAAUUAUUUUUUAACACAAUAUCCAUUAAGUCCCGGGCAAAAUAUAGGUAAUUCAAAUUGAACCUAAUGAAGAUGUGGGAGAGGGGGCGGGUAAAGGAGAGCGGGUCAUUGUCAUGGACACCAUGUCAGCAGCAAAGGGUUUCAGACAAUCUUUCUUGCACGCAUCCAUGGACGGAUAGCACUCUUGAUUGAGGAGACAACACAAGCAGACCCAUCCAGCUUUGCACGGUCUAUUGUUGACACAAAGCCCAUACGGUAAAUUGAUCUUCUCAUCAUCCACGUCUUCUUCGCCGAUAAUCCGACCUAUAUAUGGAACAACAAAUGAAUUAGGUGUGAAAGAAUUAGCCAUUGAUAUGGUAACUGAUCAUUUUGGACUGAUAACCAAACAAGUAAUAGGCAAUGAAAGGUGAGAAAGAACUGGUAAAUCUCUGUGGAACUGCAUACAUUGCACAGUAGGCGUGCAGCAUAGGAGAUGGAGAGAUAGUAGCAAGUCUAGAGCGUAGAUGUGAAUCGUGUAUUUGUCCAUCAUCUUCUGAUGAAGUUUGAAAAUGCUAG